CAAUAGCGUAUAUUAAAGUUGUUGCAGUUAAAAAGCUCGUAGUUGGAUUUCCGUGAGAGUGCCGGUGUCGGCUGAUGCUUGUACGCAGGCGCUCUUACAUCCUUCUGUUAACUGUUCUUGGCAUUUUAUUGCUGGUUCAGGGCUCAGAUAUUUUACCUUGAGAAAAUUAGAGUGUUUCAGGCAGGCUUAUGCCGGAAUACAUUAGCAUGGAAUAAUGGAACAGGACCUGUGCGUCUCUCGGGGCGCCGGUCUCCGUUGUUGGUUUCGGGGACUAAUGUAAUGAUUAAUAGGGAUAGUUGGGGGCAUUAGUAUUUAAUAGUCAGAGGUGAAAUUCUCGGAUUUGUUAAAGACUAACUUAUGCGAAAGCAUUUGCCAAGGAUGUUUUCAUUAA
This 391-nucleotide ribosomal RNA is filed under the name uncultured eukaryote. RNAcentral describes it as "partial 18S ribosomal RNA". It matches the Rfam family "Eukaryotic small subunit ribosomal RNA", at positions 592 to 976 of the family's 1831-position model. The record is from RNAcentral.